Molecule: transfer RNA, 73 nt
Filed under: Curtobacterium sp. MCSS17_016
Lineage: Bacteria; Bacillati; Actinomycetota; Actinomycetes; Micrococcales; Microbacteriaceae
Description: tRNA-Glu
Rfam family: tRNA
About the family: Transfer RNA (tRNA) molecules are approximately 80 nucleotides in length.
Source: RNAcentral
GGCCUGUUAGUGCAGCGGCCCAGCACUCCUGGUUCUCAGCCAGGUAACGCCGGUUCGAACCCGGCACAGGUCA